Molecule: long non-coding RNA, 669 nt
Organism: Ceratitis capitata (Mediterranean fruit fly)
Lineage: Eukaryota; Metazoa; Arthropoda; Insecta; Diptera; Tephritidae
Exons: 2
Source: RefSeq, a predicted model, not a curated record
AAAACAAUAUUUUUUUACACUUUAUUUCUCUGUCGUUUGUGUUAAAUUUCACUGCACUUGUGUCGGCCUGUGCUCACGCUGCAACUAUGGCAGGGUUGUUUUAAAAACCACACAAAUGUCAAAACUCAAUUGUCAACCAGGUGCAAGAUAAUGAACAAAACAAAAACAUUAACAACCGCGGCUGCGCUGAAAACCGCGAAAUUCAAUCGUUUUCGAGAGAGCAAUUCGCUAAAUGGAAAGGAUAAUGUGUAAAGAAGGGACUUUUGCAAAAUAUUUUAGUGCGCAAGGAUGUACAGGAAAAUGGCAUAGACGUAGAGUUCAUUGCGGUGUCAUAUUUGCAAAAGUUCAGUAUUCAAGCACAGUAGUGCUUAAGUUUUUCGUGGGUACCGGUUGCGUCUAAAUGGUGCGGAUAAUUGGAUAGAGUUGGAUUAAUUGGUGAACACUUUUAGUUAUCCAUUCUUUAAAAGAAUCAGAUUAUAAUAAACUAUAAGUAUCUAGCUGAUCAAUGAACUGAUGAAGAAAAUAGAAUCGAAAAUUGUGUGUUCCUGUUGAAAACAAAAAAUUCUCGGAGGAUUCUUAACAGCCUAACAAGUCUCUUUAUAGUCUAGCUAAACAAACCCAUUUAUGUAUUUAUAUGUGAAAAAUAAAAUAAAAACUUUGACGGUUUAA